RNAcentral lists this ribosomal RNA (460 nucleotides) under uncultured bacterium. RNAcentral describes it as "partial 16S ribosomal RNA". It matches the Rfam family "Bacterial small subunit ribosomal RNA", at positions 338 to 795 of the family's 1533-position model. The record is from RNAcentral.
CCUACGGGGGGCAGCAGUGAGGAAUAUUGGUCAAUGGGCGAGAGCCUGAACCAGCCAAGUAGCGUGAGGGAUGACUGUCCUACGGGUUGUAAACUUCUUUUGUAAGGGAAUAAAGUGAGGCACGUGUGCCUUUUUGUAUGUACUUUAUGAACAAGGAUCGGCUAACUCCGUGCCAGCAGCCGCGGUAAUACGGAGGAUCCGAGCGUUAUCCGGAUUUAUGGGGUUUAAAGGGAGCGUAGAUGGGUUGUUAAGUCAGUUGUGAAAGUUUGCGGCUCAACCGUAAAAUUGCAAUUGAUACUGGCAGCCUUGAGUACAGGUGAGGUAGGCGGAAUUCGUGGUGUAGCGGUGAAAUGCUUAGAUAUCACGAAGAACUCCGAUUGCGAAGGCAGCUUACUAAACUGCCACUGACACUGAUGCUCGAAAGUGUGGGUAUCAAACAGGAUUAGAUACCCCUGUAGUC